Molecule: ribosomal RNA, 111 nt
Filed under: Acanthosepion pharaonis
Lineage: Eukaryota; Metazoa; Mollusca; Cephalopoda; Sepiida; Sepiidae
Source: RNAcentral
CAGCCACAUCACAUUGAAAUACUGGUUCCCAUACAAUCACAAAAGUUAAGCAACGUCGAGCCUGGUCAGUACCUAGAUGGGUGAUCACUUGGGAAUACCAGGUACUGUAAG